UCAUUUUCUGUCAUCUGUUUUUCAGUUUUGGAAAAAUACCCAGAAAUGUGACAUAAAACUGGAUAAUUUUCCUACAUAGCCAUAUCAGAAUAUUUUCCUAAAAUUGGUUUUCUGCAAACAGGCAUUGAUUGGAGGAAAUUAUGGCCUUCUCAACACUACAACAUUUAUCCCCAAUUCGGAUUAUUACGGUGCUCUUUUGUGGCAUCGCUUAAUGGGAAAGAUUGUACUUCAGACCACUUAUGACAGUUCCCCUUCCACUUAAGAAAGAAUCGGGCAUUUCACUGCUUCUAAUCAACAUGUCAAAUUCUACUACCUAUGAAGUUUCGGUUGCGGAUGACUUGAACUUCUAUCCUGACAACUAUGAUGAUAACCAACAACAAAUCCACAGGGAAGAGUACCACUUGACUCCAACAGAUGGCAAUAUUCAAAGUGAUGUGCUGAUGUUAAAUGGUGUCCCCUUGGUGCUCAUAGAGUCAAGGAUAUACCAGUUAUGUAUCCAGUGCUCGUGCAUGCUUCAAACCCUAUCAGUGUUGCACCUGAUUCUAUUGUUUUUGCAACUCUUAAAGAUUUCAAAGCACCAGCUUGUUCUUAGGAAUUUUUCUUUAUGUCACGUUAUUAGAGAUCUUUGAUUUAUUUAUUUAUUUAUUGGGUAUAUAUUUACAAAUGGUAAUAAUGGGAUUCUCUUAUUUUGUUUCAUUUCAUCACAUU
This is a non-coding RNA of Camellia sinensis, 708 nucleotides long. NCBI's taxonomy places the organism in Eukaryota, Viridiplantae, Streptophyta, Magnoliopsida, Ericales, Theaceae. The record is from RefSeq and is a predicted model, not a curated record.